RNAcentral lists this ribosomal RNA (233 nucleotides) under uncultured bacterium. RNAcentral's name for it is "partial 16S ribosomal RNA". It matches the Rfam family "Bacterial small subunit ribosomal RNA", at positions 32 to 246 of the family's 1533-position model. The record is from RNAcentral.
AAUCAACGCUGGCGGCGUGCCUAACACAUGCAAGUCGCGCGCGAAAGGGGGCGAACUCCCAAGUAGAGCGGCGAACGGGUGAGUAACACGUGGGUAAUCUACCUUCGAGUGGGGAACGAACACCGGGAAACUGGUGCUAAUUCCGCAUAACAUCGUCGGGGCUUCGGUUCUGACGCUCAAAGCUGGGGAUCNCAAGACCUAGCGCUUGAAGAUGAGCCCGCGUCCGAUUAGCA